GACGAACGCUGGCGGCGUGCUUAACACAUGCAAGUCGAACGCUGAAGCUCAGCUUUUGUUGGGUGGAUGAGUUGCGAACGGGUGAGUAACACGUGAGUAACCUGCCUCCUUCUUUGGGAUAACGCCCGGAAACGGGUUCUAAUACUGGAUAUUCACUGGUCUUCGCAUGGGGGUUGGUGGAAAGGGUUUUUCUGGUUGGGGAUGGGCUCGCGGCCUAUCAGCUUGUUGGUGGGGUGAUGGCCUACCAAGGCUUUGACGGGUAGCCGGCCUGAGAGGGUGACCGGUCACAUUGGGACUGAGGUACGGCCCAGACUCCGACGGGAGGCAGCAGUGGGGAAUAUUGCACAAUGGGGGAAAGCCUGAUGCAGCGACGCGGCGGGAGGGAUGGAGGCCUUCGGGUUGUGAACCUCUUUCGCUCAUGGUCAAGCCGCAACAAUGGUUGUGGUGAGGGUAGUGGGUAAAGAAGCGCCGGCUAACUACGUG
RNAcentral lists this ribosomal RNA (483 nucleotides) under uncultured bacterium. RNAcentral's name for it is "partial 16S ribosomal RNA". It matches the Rfam family "Bacterial small subunit ribosomal RNA", at positions 28 to 507 of the family's 1533-position model. The record is from RNAcentral.